RNAcentral lists this ribosomal RNA (539 nucleotides) under Candida tropicalis. RNAcentral describes it as "partial large subunit ribosomal RNA". It matches the Rfam family "Eukaryotic large subunit ribosomal RNA", at positions 62 to 612 of the family's 3401-position model. The record is from RNAcentral. Lineage: Eukaryota; Fungi; Ascomycota; Pichiomycetes; Serinales; Debaryomycetaceae.
AAACCAACAGGGAUUGCCUUAGUAGCGGCGAGUGAAGCGGCAAAAGCUCAAAUUUGAAAUCUGGCUCUUUCAGAGUCCGAGUUGUAAUUUGAAGAAGGUAUCUUUGGGUCUGGCUCUUGUCUAUGUUUCUUGGAACAGAACGUCACAGAGGGUGAGAAUCCCGUGCGAUGAGAUGAUCCAGGCCUAUGUAAAGUUCCUUCGAAGAGUCGAGUUGUUUGGGAAUGCAGCUCUAAGUGGGUGGUAAAUUCCAUCUAAAGCUAAAUAUUGGCGAGAGACCGAUAGCGAACAAGUACAGUGAUGGAAAGAUGAAAAGAACUUUGAAAAGAGAGUGAAAAAGUACGUGAAAUUGUUGAAAGGGAAGGGCUUGAGAUCAGACUUGGUAUUUUGUAUGUUACUUCUUCGGGGGUGGCCUCUACAGUUUAUCGGGCCAGCAUCAGUUUGGGCGGUAGGAGAAUUGCGUUGGAAUGUGGCACGGCUUCGGUUGUGUGUUAUAGCCUUCGUCGAUACUGCCAGCCUAGACUGAGGACUGCGGUUUAUAC